Molecule: non-coding RNA, 45 nt
Filed under: Schistosoma haematobium
Lineage: Eukaryota; Metazoa; Platyhelminthes; Trematoda; Strigeidida; Schistosomatidae
Source: RNAcentral
AUUCAGCUGGUGAGUCCCAUGAAGGACGAAAUGCACGUCCUGGAU